Molecule: ribosomal RNA, 369 nt
Filed under: Isopteron sp. GJK-2014
Lineage: Eukaryota; Metazoa; Arthropoda; Insecta; Coleoptera; Tenebrionidae
Description: partial 12S ribosomal RNA
Source: RNAcentral
GAUACCCUAUUAUUUUAAACGUAAAUUUAAAAACUAAAAUAAUAUAAGUUAAGUUCUUUAAAAUUAAAAAUUUUGGCGGUAUUUUAGUCUAUUCAGAGGAACCUGUUUUUUAAUUGAUAGUCCACGAUAGUCUCUACUUUAACUUUAAAUUUGUAUAUCGUCGUUUAUAAAGAUUUUAAUAGAAUUUUAAUUUUUAAUAUAUUAUAUUUAAUAUUAAUUCAGAUCAAGGUGUAGUUUAUGUUAAAGAAAGAAUGGGUUACAUUAAAUUUAUUUUUGGUUUUUGAUUUUAAAAAUUUAAAUAAAUUGGAUUUGAAUGUAAUUAUUAAGCUUUUAUAUAAUGAUUUAGCUCUAAAAUAUGCACACAUCGCC